This is a long non-coding RNA of Phalaenopsis equestris, 1286 nucleotides long. RefSeq lists it as uncharacterized. Lineage: Eukaryota; Viridiplantae; Streptophyta; Magnoliopsida; Asparagales; Orchidaceae. The record is from RefSeq and is a predicted model, not a curated record. The transcript is spliced from 3 exons.
ACAAUAACAAAAUAAACAGUUACAUUUCUAACAUUUCAAAACAACCAUCCUAAACCUAAAACCACAAAUUUUAGCCACCGAAGCUCCAUCUGCGUUCAAAGCCUACCCCUCUCGUCUCCAUCCGUCACCCGUGCCAGACGUCUCCGUUCAACCACAACUACCGCGCUGUCUCUCCUUCCCACAUCUUCUUCUCCGAUGUCCAUCUUCCGCACCGACGUCUGCGCCAGCAGCAAGGAGGCUGUUGCGGUAUCUAUGGUGCAAACUGUCCUAAAUGGAUUAUUAGCAUGGAGACUUUCUUCCUCAAACAAAAUCUGCAACAAGAGUACCCAUUCCACCAUCAUUGAAGUUGUAAGACAAUAAAUUAAUGUUUCCACUCAUUCAUUGCAACAAAAGCAUGGAGGUAAUAAUCCUAAAUGGAUUAUUAGCAUGGAGGUAAUGAUCAUUUUAAUGCACAAUCACUUUAAUAUCUUUGCAACAAAAGCAUUGUAAGAUAAUUAAUUAAUGUUUCUGAGCUUGCCAAAACUAAUCGGAUGACGCAUGAAUUCAGACUUUCUUCCUCAAACAAAAUCUGCAACACGAGUACCCCUUCCACCAUCAUUGAAGUUGUAAGACAAUUAAUUAAUGUUUCCACUCGUUCAUUGCAUUACUUAAACCCCAUUGAAGUCCCCAAAAGAAAGUCAUGGGUGAUAAAAAAGGCUCCCAUGUGAGUUUCGUUUAGUAACUUGGUGGCAGAUAUGCACAUAACAAAUUUCAAGAUUUAUGUAAAAAUAUUAUUUUUUAACUAGUUCAUUGUUAGUGUAGCACCCUGGCAUUGGCUUUGAAGUUGAUUAUACCUUCAAAUCACCAUUUUUAUCUAUGCAGGAAUCAUGGACUAUUUGUAGAAUAUUCAAGAGAAAUGCAUCGUUCAAGAGUACACACAUCAACUGAAAUGGAAGGAGGGUGAAGGAGGGUUGGAAUGUAGAAUUCAACAGAUUCAAGUUCCAAGACGAGUAAUUUAGAGUUAGAAGCUGGAAAGGAACACAGAUACCUCCAUGGAGGAUGCAGUUUCAAGGAAGGAGAUGAAAAGAUUUGUGGAGGAGAAUCGUUAGUUUUAUUCAGCUGGACAAUGGAAUUCUAAAGCUCAGACAAAUAAUAUCAGCUUCACAUCAAAUUUUGUGAAUUUGAAUCAGAAUGAGAUUUUCAGAGAGGAAAAUUUGGAAGAGAUUGUAAGAAUGGUGGAUUAUAUGAUGGAACCAGUCACCACAUAUGAUUGUAUAUUUUUUUGAAGAUAGUUAUGAUAUUUUUUA